RNAcentral lists this small nucleolar RNA (47 nucleotides) under Pyrobaculum arsenaticum DSM 13514. RNAcentral's name for it is "PARsR04". Lineage: Archaea; Thermoproteati; Thermoproteota; Thermoprotei; Thermoproteales; Thermoproteaceae. The record is from RNAcentral. RNAcentral also lists the same sequence under 1 other name.
GUGAUGAAGGGAUGUCGUUGAGCGGUGAAAGAGCCUUCGAUCUCUGA